RNAcentral lists this unclassified non-coding RNA (825 nucleotides) under Hevea brasiliensis (rubber tree). The record is from RNAcentral. Lineage: Eukaryota; Viridiplantae; Streptophyta; Magnoliopsida; Malpighiales; Euphorbiaceae.
AGAGAAUGGCUAACAACGUAGCCAAUCCUGCCCUGGAUCCCGAUCUAGAUCAACCCGAUAAUCCUAAUCACAAGUUUGCUCAGUUCGGAGCAGGGUGUUUCUGGGGAGUGGAGCUGGCGUUUCAGCGAGUGGUUGGGGUGGUGAAGACGGAGGUCGGAUACUCUCAAGGUCACGUCCACGAUCCUAAUUACAAACUCGUUUGCACCGGCGCUACUAACCACGUCGAGGUCGUGCGCGUCCAAUUUGACCCUGAAGUUUGCCCAUAUACCAACCUCCUCUCUCUUUUCUGGGCUUGCCACGAUCCCACAAGCCUCAAUCGCCAGGGUGGUGAUGUGGGUGCCCAGUAUAGGUCGGGAAUAUACUACUACAACGAGACGCAAGCUCUUCUAGCCCAAGAAUCAAAGGAAGCUAAGCAGUUGGAAUUGAAGGACAAGAAGAUUGUCACUGAAAUUCUGCCAGCAAAAAGAUUUUACAGAGCUGAGGAGUACCACCAGCGGUAUCUGGAAAAGGGAGGACGUAAGGGAGCCAAGCAGUCUGCUGAGAAGGGUUGCACUGACCCCAUAAGAUGUUAUGGUUAAAAGCUGUAAAAGUAUGCCAAGUGUUAAAUUGUGGCUUCGUACUUGUUGAAAAUUGGCAGCAUUUUUCUGUAAUAUUUGUCUAUGCAUCUGAUGUUUCUCAUGGCAUCUUAUUGAUAAUAAGCUGCCCUAUUUUUUCUGCGUUUCCUUUCUCUGUUUCCUCUCCUGUUCAUUUAUUAAUACUUGUGAGCCGUGGCAUUUGAAAAUUUCUUGAGAACUUGGAUGCAUAGACAAAUAUUACAGAAAAAUG